RNAcentral lists this transfer RNA (92 nucleotides) under Thermus brockianus. Its description in RNAcentral is "tRNA-Pro". Lineage: Bacteria; Thermotogati; Deinococcota; Deinococci; Thermales; Thermaceae. The record is from RNAcentral.
UUUCCCUCUACGCCGGCCUGUGCCGGCCUUCGGGGAAGGCCGAGGCGGCGGUCCUCCUGGUGCCCGGGGGGUUCGGUCCCCCCACGGAGGCC